Molecule: long non-coding RNA, 548 nt
Organism: Musa acuminata AAA Group (dessert banana)
Lineage: Eukaryota; Viridiplantae; Streptophyta; Magnoliopsida; Zingiberales; Musaceae
Exons: 2
Source: RefSeq, a predicted model, not a curated record
CCUCUCUCUCUCUCUCUCUCAUCCUCUCUGUCUCCACUCGACAUAAAAGUGAUGCCGCUCCACCGCUUCUCUCAAUCUCUCUCUCUCUCUACAUCAGGACAUGGAUGCAGGAACAGGUCGCUGCCUCAGGUCUCGAUGGCUCCUCUGCUUCGUGGUCGUCACUCUGCUCUGUUCUGGAAGUCUCGCCUAUCCCGUCUCAGGGCAGUCGAGAAGGGGAGGAGGACGGCGGUCACUGAUCGUUUCAUUGGAGGACUACAGUGUGCCACGAGCCAAUCCAAGACACAAUCCCAAACCAUGUCCAAGCCCAUGCUCAGGCCCAGGCCCAAAACCAAGCCCCAUCCGUAACUAAGAUCCGUCGGAUGCAUGAUGAACGGUCGGAUGGAGUCCGCUGUCUGUCUACAACCGGUGGUUUUGUUCUAUUUGUUUCUGUUUUUUGUUUUUGUUGUUGGUUUCCAUCUUAGUGACUCUUGAUGUUUCUUUCCCCUAUAAAAGUAGUUGUUUGCAGUUGUGUCACGGUUUGCUACCAAAAACAUGUUAUAUGUUUUUGA